GGGGGAUCCUGGCUGGGCCCCACAGAGGUCUGCCCCAGGGCACAGCCUGCCACCUUCCAUGUGUGGAAGGCCACGAGGACCCGAGGGGCCAGACAGCCCCUCCCUGGCCCAGACCACAGGGUCUGGAAUGUCCCCAGAGGCCUGUAGGGGAGGCCUGGUCUUCGGCUGGGCACUACCGGGAGGUGGUGGACUCUGCUUCCCGGUCCUGGUGGGAGCUGCCCUGUGGUGCCCUGCCCUGCAGUCCACGUGGGGCUGGUCCCACCGAGAAGGCUCUGAGUGUGCCCAGGCCGUUCCUUCUCAGUGGUUAAGUGCUGUAUGUGAAUGUCGAGGUCCUGGGACCUUUUCCUGCCAGUCAGGGGCAGGGGGGUGGAGAUGGCAGGAGGUGGGAAAGGCAGGCUGGUGUGCUGACGGGUGACAACAAAUCCCACCAUUAGGACAACUGUGAUGCACGAAUUUGAAAACGUGGAGAAAAGUUAAAAAAAAAAAGGCCGGGUCUGGCUCUGAAGAUGAGGAAGGGGACUCUAGAAUUUGGAUGCGGCGGAGUGGACCCUCCCUGGAGCUCAGGAGGGACCUGCCCUGCCGCACCGCAGCUGUAUGGAGCUCAGGGAGGCCGGUGAGGGAGGGACUGUCAUCUAGGGGAAAAGGGCCAGCCACGCUCUUCUCCUGCAGGCGGGGCCCGUGCCACCCAAGGUGCCACCGGUGCCUUUCCUGUGCCGGAGGUGGCCGCUUCCCGCUCAGCCCCGCGAACCACGCAGAGGUCAGCUGCCACGGGAGGCUCUGCCUGGCCAGGCCAGCCCUCCCGUGCCACGACAGUGGGCAGUCACAGACGACGACCGAGGAGACCGGGGAGGGAGCAAAAGAGGCGGCGCCGAGUUCUGGGGCGCGCUCCGCUCCGCACGGGACAGCGCGCAGCUCCCUGCCCUGGGAGCCGGGGAGCCCGCCCAGGCGUCUCCCGUUCUUUGGCCAAGAAGAAACCGGUCUCGCUGCUUGACCCGGGCUGGGUUUCGGUUACUGCCCACACGGUCCCUAGAAGGGAAGAGGACCUACUCUGUGUGGAAACCGGUAACGUUCCUGCGGCGCGCACGCGCAGUGCACCGCGGCGCUGCCCGAGUCCCGCCCCUCCCUGGACACAGCCCCGACCGCGCCUGGUGGGAGGCGGCCCGCGGUGCUUCUGACCCACGGCGGGCUGCUGUUGGAGGCAGGGGAGGACAACGCGGCACGGAGGACAAGAGAAGUGUUUUCAGCAGCUGCAGGGUUCUCGGGCCUGCGCCGAGCUGGGCACACCCGCGUUUGGGAAGCUGGUGUUGACCUUCAUACGGUUUUUCCCCUUGUUGCUGCCACGGAGCCCAGGACCCCACACACGCUGGGCAAGUGCUCUGCCGCCGACCCACCCCCCAGCCCUCGCCUUUUUCUUUCUUUCUUUUUUUGAGACAGGAUCUCGCUGAGUUGCCCAGGCUGGGCUUGACCUUAUGAUCCUCGUGCCCCAGCCUCCUGAGUCACUGGGAUGACAGACAUGGCCACCCCAGGUUGAGUCUUAGAUGUCAUCACAAGGCGCUUUAUAAGAGGGAAGCUUGGCAGAUCUGGAGGACAGGUGACAGUGGAGGUGGGGACAGUAGUGAUGUGUCCACAGGCCAAUGGAUGCCAGAAGUCCCCAGCCGCAGGGAGAGGCCGGAAGGACCCGCCCCUGGAGCCCUGGGAGGGAGCUCAACCCGCCCACCCUGCACUUUGGUUUGCAGCCCUCGGUGGGAGGUCACUUGUUGUAACAAUGUUACUAUUGGGGUAUCCCCAACAAAGGAUUGAGCAAGACCUGUAGGAGUAACGGCCAGCGCAGGUCCACCGAAGCUGGAGGGGUGGCGCUGUGAGGUGCCGCAGAAAGGCCAGCAAGAGGGGCGGAGGCGGCGUGGGCAUCUCCUGUCCUGCGUGCUGGGCGGACCUGACUGAAGACCUCGCCCCACUGGCUCCUGCUAGAUGUUUUAGGGCACCAAAUUCUUGGCGUCAUCAUGAGUGAUGAGCCCUCCUGGCGAGAGUCGUCACGGUGACGGACAGGAUGACUCAUGUCCAGUCUAGCCCUCCACCACCCUGCCUCCCAUCACGGAGACCCUGAACUCCAACCUGCAGCCAGAGAGGGCCCAGCUUCCUGGCUGCUGGGCCCCCAGCUCAGCCAGGCCUGGCCCUCCCGACCUCGUCCUCCAGGGCCAUGGCAGCUCACCGGGACCUGGCACGGCUUCCCAGGCUCCCAGUCCCUCCCACCCCUGCACAAAGCCCUGGCUUCCACCCCCAGCUCCACAAAAAACAAAACCACAACUAAAACUACCCCCGAAGGACACUGGCCCCCUCUUGUGCCUGGGAGCUGGGCCGUGGGCACUCUCAGAACAGGGCGGCUCGCAAGGUGCUGGUCAUGAAAGGAGCAAAGCUGCCCACUGGGCACCUGCUGGAGUUCAGAGGUGACAGACACCCUGCCCAGCUGCCACGUGGCAACCAAGGCCCAAAGCCCCUUUUGGAGUGCUUGAGAAUGUUCCAGAACUAGAUGGCUGCAUGUUGUACAGGUUCUCAGUGCCACCGGACGUGCUCCCGGGGUUGAUUCUGCCUGGCACCGUGGCACACGCCUUCAUCCCAGCCACUUGGGAGGCUGAGGCAGAAGGAUCACAAGUUCAAGGCCGGCCUCAGC
Molecule: long non-coding RNA, 2668 nt
Filed under: Marmota monax (woodchuck)
Lineage: Eukaryota; Metazoa; Chordata; Mammalia; Rodentia; Sciuridae
Source: RNAcentral